UUUUGACAUCUUCUGAUGAAAGCCUUCUUAUAAAGUGAUUUAUUUUCUUGCAAAGAAGCCAUGACUUGAGGCAGUGGAUCCAAAGUAUGCUUCAUUUCUUCUAAUCUAUCAAUAGUAAAAUGAUUUACAUUUAUGCUUUUGUGGAACUAAAUUUAUCAACAGGCUUCUUUUUUUUUUUUUCAGGGAAGAGGCAGGAAAGACCUAUGAGGUUAGUACCUAAGCAUUAUUGCUUCCAGUUUUCUAUUUGCCAUCAGCUCAAAUUCAUAUGUUAUAUGUGGAAGCUCCAUAAGUUUUAGGGACUUAGAAUCUGACUUGUUUAACUCCAUAUUGUGAAGUUCUAAGAUGGAUGACUUCUUUAUUUUGCAUUCCUGCAAUCUGUGUAAUCCUAAGUCAUUUAUAGAGCAAUAAUCUUCCAUUGUCUCCUUGAAGACAACAUGAUAUAUAUCAUCUUUAAUUUUGGCUUCAAUAUGGUUACUUUUCAUGGUUUCAUCCAACUGAUUGAACAUAUUCCUGAUGAGAUCUCUGCAUAUUCCAUCUGAAAUCAGGAUCUCCAAUUCCCAGGUACUUAAAUCAUCACAAAACUUUUCUCUCAACCCUUGAAAUAAAGCGAUGUAAGUUUCUUCCUUCAUUAUGUUUUGAAAUUCUCUUUCCUCUCUUUCUUGCCUUAGCGCGCAAAUUUGAUUUUGUAUUCCGCUGUUUUCUUCAUCCUGCAGUUGAUGCAUCUUCCCCCAGACAUCUGCCAAAGUAUCCACAUCAGAUUUCUGUCUAUGAUUUUCUACAAAUAUUUGCUCCCCUUUCUCUGGAGGUAUGUCUUCUUCAUUAAAAUCCUCAUUUUGGUCUAUAAUUUUGUUAACCGUAGCAUUCAAAAUCAUCGAAUUCUCUAGUUUCUCUAGUAUUUCUUGGAACCUUCUUUUGAAGCUUUCAGUACUUUCUUCUCUCCUUAAUGAUAAUGAAGUUUUAUCAUGAAGCUUUUCUGGAUUCCAUUGAUCCGGUUCUGCUUCUUUACUCUUUUUCUUAAUAAUUGACUCAAAAUUCAAAAUGUUGCACUCUCGGGACCGCAUUUCAUUUUGGCCAAGAACAGGUUUGAGAUCCUCAAACAAGCCUAUAACUUCAUUCAUUAAAUCCGACCACCAUUUGUUUGCCGAAACUUGCCUCUCUUUCCUUGUCACUUCUGCUUCUAUAUCCUCUUGACAAUCAUUCACAAAUCCCUUAAGCAGGAUUGAUAUUAUGUCGUUCUCAAUACUUGACUUUACUUGCUGCUCUAUUGCUCCUAUUUCAGAAAUCAAAAUGGCACUGUGCAUCUUUCCAAACGCAAUAUCAAGAGUUUCCUUCAAAAUAUCGAUGUCAGAUCCCAUCUCUUCAACUCUUAUUACGUCGUUGAUACAACGAUUUCGUUUGGUCUUCACCUUAUGCUCAUAAUCAUCAUUUAACUCGAUUUUUUCUUUCACUUCACCCAAUUCCCCAUCUCUAUUCUCAUCAUCCUCACCUUCAUGUGGGCUAAGGUUGGAACUUCCAGCACUUCUUGAUCUUUCAAGUUCAAGAUCUUCCUGUGAAGAAACCAAUUCCCUCUCUGUAAUUUCCAAAGCCUGCCUUAACUUCACCUCGCUCUCGGAUCGAUCUGCCAACUCUCUAUCUUUCUGUAGGAUGGCAAGUUCCGAUUCGUAGAGGCGUCGUUGAAGGCGGUUUCGUAUUUCGGCCAAGCCAGCAAGAACUUCUUCAUGGCUGGUUUCGGGAUUGUGAGUGUCAGUUUCUUCUUGAACAAAUUUGAUACAACCAUCCAAUUGCAUUACGGAUAACUCGUAGAAUUUUGAUAUCUCAUGUAAUCUCUCUAUAACUCCUUCUCUAGAUUUGACUCUUUGGUGAGCUUUAUCCAUUGCACGAUGCACAAUCAACAUCAUGGUUGAAUCUACUAUUGACAGUUUGAAACUGCCAUCGAUCAUUCCAAAAAUUCCAUCCAUGUUUAAUUUCCUCUCUUGAAAAUGAAGGCUACGAAGAGGAAAAAAAAAGACGGUAUGUCAAAUUAAUUCUAAAGUACGUCAAAUUAGUUCUAAGGCAUUGUUCAUAUGUUGGCUUAAUAUGUGGAUUGCAUUGACAUUAGGGAGUUCUUGGGAAUAGGCGAAUUGGAAGGAUUGAGAUCCUUCAACUUAGCUUUAGAGAAACAAAUGGUAGGAAAGGCGAAGCAACCCUUUGACUAUUUAGGGCAUGUUUGGAAUUGAUUUUAAAUUGAUUAAAAUCUAUUUUCAAAAUUGCUUUUAAAUUAUUUAAAAAUUAAUAUUAAGUUGAUUUUGAUUGGCUAAAAACUUAUUUCCAAAUGUUUUUAAGCACACAAAAGUGAAUUUAACCGUUUUAAAAUAGAAUUUGUCUUUGAUAACUAAUUUUAUUUUGUUUAUCUAAAGUGUUAUUUUUUUAAAUGAUUUUUUUUGUUGAAAAAUGAAUUUUCAAACAUUGUAAUAUUUAUUAGGUAAAUACGUUUAAGUUUCAUUUUUUUAGAUUAAUUUUCAUAAAUAUAACGAAACACCAAAAUAUUCGGUAACAAAAAAACAUGAAAUCGAUCAUUUUUUUAAAACUUUAGAUUAAAAAUCAUGAAAUGGGUCAUUUUUACUCUUUCCUUUCCAUCUUCUUUCUUCCCUCCUUUCCAUCAAUUUCAAUUUUAAAUGUUGUAUUUUUUUUAGUGUUAUUUGGUUUUUACCAUUUUCAUCAUCGUGUACCAAAUAUAAAAACAUCAAUUGUUUCGUUUAGAUUUGCUAUCUAAAUGUAAUGAAAGAAUCUUGAAAUCUCAAAUCUAAACUCACAAAAAUCUUUUAAAAAAUCGUUUAACCAAAUCUAAACGAUUUAUCAAGAAUCUUGAAAAAAAUCAUUGUGUAGUAAAUAUAUUGUCGGUCAAUUAAUCCCACUCUUCAUUGUUUUCGAAAUUAGCUUGUUUUGAUAUUUGUAAAAGAGUGAUAAAUUGUGUUAAACACUAUUUGUCUAUUUAAAUAUUUUCAAAUAGCAAAUUGACCAUAAAAUUAUUUGGUCCCUUUGCUAUAUUUAUUUCAAUAAAUAAGUUGGUAUAUAUAUAUAUAUAUAUGAAAAUAGGAAAACAAAAAAAAAAAGUACAUUUAGAUUUUUAAAAAAUUACUAGAAAACAGCUGUUUAAUUGGCUGUUUCGACAUAAAGUACUAAAAGGCAGCCGGCUAAGCAGAGCAAAAAUUUGAUCUGCUCUGGCUAUUAAUAAUCUUUGUUCGAUAAAAGUAAAGUUGUGAAUGCUAAUUUGUAUAUUUGUAUGAACAAUAUGUUGCACAAAUAUUAAAAACCAAACAAGAUUUUGCCCAAGAAAAUAUGCCAUGAAAUUAAACAUUGUUAUUAACGUUCAAACUUCCAUAGGUUUUCUUCACAAAAUAAUCCUCAAUUGGAAACAAACAAAACAAGACAGCCAUAAAAUUAGAAGGCUUCUCACGAUAAUCAUCAAUGUGAAAAGUGUAUAUAUGUAUAUGUAGGUUUGUGUAUAUGUGCACCUUAAUCAUACUUAGGACUCAUGGCUAAAAGGUUUACAAUUUUUGCUUUUAUUUUUAUUCUUGUGUUUCUUCAUGUCACAAAUUUGACUUUUGCACAAGAUGCAUCUCCUCCGCCACCAUCCAACACCACUGAUGCUCCACCGCCGCCGCCGCCAUCCAACGCCACUGACGCUCCACCUCCACCGCCACCAUCCAAUGCCACGGACGCUCCACCUCCA
RNAcentral lists this long non-coding RNA (3712 nucleotides) under Cucumis sativus (cucumber). RNAcentral describes it as "long non-coding RNA (CSAT_LNC002119)". Lineage: Eukaryota; Viridiplantae; Streptophyta; Magnoliopsida; Cucurbitales; Cucurbitaceae. The record is from RNAcentral.